Molecule: ribosomal RNA, 635 nt
Filed under: Polytoma uvella
Lineage: Eukaryota; Viridiplantae; Chlorophyta; Chlorophyceae; Chlamydomonadales; Chlamydomonadaceae
Description: small subunit ribosomal RNA
Rfam family: Bacterial small subunit ribosomal RNA
Source: RNAcentral
GGUAACAAUGAGCCAGGCCCCCCAUUCCUUAUUUGCAGCCCAGGGGGAGUAGUUAGGCAAUCCCGCCGCAACCGGGUCACAGUGGCACUGAAACAAGGGCCAUCGCUAUUAGGCGCAGCAGUAAGAAGUUUUUGGCAAUGCGUUAAAGGACUAGACAGUGACAUACUGCGGGACUCUGCCGGUGUGUGCGCGACCAGGACGCCAUCCAACUAGAACAGCUCCGGCAAAUUCCGUGCCAGCAGCCGCGGGAAGACGGGAGGAGCAAGCGUAUUGCGUGGGGAUUGGGUGAAUCGAGUGAAGGUGGUGCGACUACAGGCUUCUGUUAGUUGGAUUAAAUGGCGCGCGCGAAGCCUUGUGUUAUUAUGCGUGGAACGGUCAAAUGUUGAGAUAUGCGUAGGACGGCCGAAGGUGGAGACAGCAAUUCGAGCGCGGCCGCAACUGUAGCUCGGAAGGCUGGGGAUCGACCCGGAUUAGAUACCCGAUUAGUCCAGCCCGUCAACGAAAGAAUGAGCAAUUCUAAACCUGGUGAUACGUCCGCAAGGGUUGUAAUCAUAGAAUCUGGCAGACAUGGUCAUACACUGUGGAGCAUGCGGUUUAAUGCGAUUGUCCGCGUAUAACCUUACCACUUUAGUAAA